UACGGGAGGCAGCAGUGGGGAAUAUUGCACAAUGGGCGAAAGCCUGAUGCAGCGACGCCGCGUGAGGGAUGACGGCCUUCGGGUUGUAAACCUCUUUCAGCAGGGAAGAAGCGCAAGUGACGGUACCUGCAGAAGAAGCACCGGCUAACUACGUGCCAGCAGCCGCGGUAAUACGUAGGGUGCGAGCGUUGUCCGGAAUUAUUGGGCGUAAAGAGCUCGUAGGCGGCCUGUCGCGUCGGAUGUGAAAGCCCGGGGCUUAACCCCGGGUCUGCAUUCGAUACGGGCAGGCUAGAGUGUGGUAGGGGAGAUCGGAAUUCCUGGUGUAGCGGUGAAAUGCGCAGAUAUCAGGAGGAACACCGGUGGCGAAGGCGGAUCUCUGGGCCAUUACUGACGCUGAGGAGCGAAAGCGUGGGGAGCGAACAGGAUUAGAUACCCUGGUAGUCCACGCCGUAAACGUUGGGAACUAGGUGUUGGCGACAUUCCACGUCGUCGGUGCCGCAGCUAACGCAUUAAGUUCCCCGCCUGGGGAGUACGGCCGCAAGGCUAAAACUCAAAGGAAUUGACGGGGGCCCGCACAAGCAGCGGAGCAUGUGGCUUAAUUCGACGCAACGCGAAGAACCUUACCAAGGCUUGACAUAUGCCGGAAACAUCCAGAGAUGGGUGCCCCCUUGUGGUCGGUAUACAGGU
Molecule: ribosomal RNA, 687 nt
Filed under: Streptomyces sp.
Lineage: Bacteria; Bacillati; Actinomycetota; Actinomycetes; Kitasatosporales; Streptomycetaceae
Description: bacterial SSU rRNA
Rfam family: Bacterial small subunit ribosomal RNA
Source: RNAcentral